Molecule: long non-coding RNA, 444 nt
Organism: Dermacentor andersoni
Lineage: Eukaryota; Metazoa; Arthropoda; Arachnida; Ixodida; Ixodidae
Source: RefSeq, a predicted model, not a curated record
CAGACACACCGCCGAAGCGAGACAGACCGGCCGCGCAUCUGAGCGUUGGCCUGUUGGUUCACCCGUCUGCCUGCUUUUCUAUUUUUGGAUUUAGCUUGGUUUGGUGGGCUCCAGGCGAAUCCUCGCGUUCCUUCUGAACUUCGACAUGACACCGCUGCACUAUUGGACUAUGGCAAGCUGACAUCGUCUGGUGGAGCUUCCUACGGAAACUACUGCUGCUUACCUGGUGCCACAACGUUGGAUGGAUGCACAAGCCCGGAACGAGCAUUUAUAAAUAAAACAAACAUUUCCUCAUUACACAAGGCGUCUUGCGCCUUUAUGAAAUUGCACGUGGCACAUAUUCGAUGGCGGCUUGUGAAGAUCGUUGGCCAUCAAUUUUACUUAAUAAUAAAACGAUUUCGCGCGAAGAGCGCGCGCGGUUGAGCUGUAGAAAAAAAAAAGAAA